AAUUUUGGACAAUGGGGGAAACCCUGAUGCAGCAACGCCGCGUGAGCGAUUAAUGCCUUCGGUUCGUAAAGCUCUGUCCUAAGGGAAGAAAUUUGACGGUACCUUGGGAGGAAGCCUCGGCUAACUACGUGCCAGCAGCCGCGGUAAUACGUAGGGGGCAAGCGUUAUCCGGAAUCACUGGGCGUAAAGGGUGCGUAGGCGGUCUUGCAAGUCAGAGGUGAAAGGCUACGGCUCAACCGUAGUAAGCCUUUGAAACUGUAGGACUUGAGUGCAGGAGAGGAAAGUGGAAUUCCUAGUGUAGCGGUGAAAUGCGUAGAUAUUAGGAGGAACACCAGUGGCGAAGGCGACUUUCUGGACUGUAACUGACGCUGAGGCACGAAAGUGUGGGUAGCGAACA
RNAcentral lists this ribosomal RNA (397 nucleotides) under uncultured bacterium. RNAcentral describes it as "partial 16S ribosomal RNA". It matches the Rfam family "Bacterial small subunit ribosomal RNA", at positions 360 to 774 of the family's 1533-position model. The record is from RNAcentral.